Molecule: ribosomal RNA, 253 nt
Filed under: uncultured Allobaculum sp.
Lineage: Bacteria; Bacillati; Bacillota; Erysipelotrichia; Erysipelotrichales; Erysipelotrichaceae
Description: partial 16S ribosomal RNA
Rfam family: Bacterial small subunit ribosomal RNA
Source: RNAcentral
UACGGGGGGUGCAAGCGUUGUCCGGAAUGAUUGGGCGUAAAGGGUGCGCAGGCGGUCCUGCAAAUCUGGAGUGAAACGUAUGAGCUCAACUCAUGCAUGGCUCUGGAAACUGGAGGACUGGAGAGCAGGAGAGGGCGGUGGAACUCCAUGUGUAGCGGUAAAAUGCGUAGAUAUAUGGAAGAACACCAGUGGCGAAGGCAGCAUACCGGCGGCGAUCUGACGCUGAGGCACGAAAGCGUGGGUAUCGAACAGG